UCGACUGACCCAGAGUUUCUUUUGGCCAGGAGUCAGCCAGGAAGUACGUAAAUAUUGCAGUACCUGCGAUACAUGCCAGAGGGAAGAGGGGGAACCGGCGGAAGGCAAAGUUGUAUCCCCUACCGAUAAUUGAGGAGCCAUUCCAUAGAAUAGCCGUAGAUAUCAUAGGUCCCCUUCGGAAACCUAGCCCUUCUGGCAAGAAGUACAUUUUAACAGUGGUGGAUUACGCCACCCGCUACCCA
Pelobates cultripes (western spadefoot toad) is the source of this 242-nucleotide non-coding RNA. The record is from the annotation of a GenBank genome assembly. NCBI's taxonomy places the organism in Eukaryota, Metazoa, Chordata, Amphibia, Anura, Pelobatidae.